AGCCUUUGUUCUGACCCACCAAGCAGGGCUUGCUGGAGGCCUGAAUGGCACAGACCAGGCCUUCCUGCAGAAUCAGAUGCUGUUUAGCUCUCUGAGCUCUUGACAGGAAGUUCCACCCCUGUCUCAGAUGAAGAGAAAGCUGCCAGUGAAACAACAUGUGUUGAAGAUGUGGUCCAUAUACACUACAGAGUAUUAUAAAUGCCUCCAUAAGAAAGGAUGAAUACCCAACUUUUGUAGCAACAUGGACAGGACUGGAAGAGAUUAUGCUGAGUGAAGUAAG
This 280-nucleotide long non-coding RNA is filed under the name Mustela putorius furo (domestic ferret). RNAcentral's name for it is "lncRNA (ENSMPUG00000031863.1)". The record is from RNAcentral. Lineage: Eukaryota; Metazoa; Chordata; Mammalia; Carnivora; Mustelidae.